Molecule: long non-coding RNA, 2302 nt
Organism: Poecilia reticulata (guppy)
Lineage: Eukaryota; Metazoa; Chordata; Actinopteri; Cyprinodontiformes; Poeciliidae
Source: RefSeq, a predicted model, not a curated record
UCCAAUGGGCACACAUCAACCAACCAAUCACAUGUCAAUGAUGAACUCUGAUGUCAUUGUUUUUCAUCCAUUGACUGAGAAUCCACGUGGGUCUGCUGAAGCGCCUUUUCAUAUGCUAGGCUAUUCAUAUGCUAAGUAGAGUCGUUAACGCCUCUUGCUCCCCCGCACCGCCACUCACCCCCUCCAAGGAUUCCGCAAUCGACAGAUUACGACUCCCGUUUUUUCCUCACCAUCAGAGUCAAGCAGCAGCUUACCUGAACAGGCAACAUUGGGAGGACAUGUCAGCCAGCUGAAAGCCAUGUUCCUCCUGUACCCUCCCGGCCGCUCUCCUCCCCUGCUAUCGCUCCGUCUUGGUGAAAGGCCAGUGCGAGCACAAAGGCCGGCGGUGGUUGUGUGUGCCUUUCCAUCGACGGGUCCCCCGCUCUAAAAGGCGCUGCUGUCACCGUUUAUCUGCUGCUUCCUGAUUCCCUUCCAUCGACUCUCAGCCAAUCAAUUCACUAAAUGAUGCAAUUAUACACCCUCCUUCUCCUCACCCCCACAUUUAAAGUUGAGAGGUUUAUUUUGGAUCAAUCCCGACCACUUUGUGUGCAAAUUACACAAUUGCAUUGCCUUCAGAUUCUUUAGGCAACCCAAUUGGAGGGAGCCCUGGGUGUGAAUGCCUAAUGAGAGACCCUGUCCUUCAAAAAGGCUCUGUCGAACACAGAUGGAGACAAUUAGAGAGGAGAGGAAAAAAAGUCAUUUUUGUUUCUUUACUACUUUAGAAAAGCUACCCGGAAAGCUGGCCUUGUCUGAUCUCCGUUAUGGCCCAGUUCUGCCUCACUCUCUGGAUCCAUUCGGGCUGCAGUCAGCUGUUGACCGGUUCAUUGGCUGUAGGGUCAGGUACUGAGAUGAGAGAUGCUCAUUCUCUCCACCAGUCUCUUGGUGGUCUUUGCUAAGUGAAGGCUUGUAUUUUUAAUUCUUCAAUCGAUUAACUUUCCUCAGCUUCCUCGCUGACUAGCGGGUAUAGAACAGAUCUGCCAUGAUCGCUGUGUUUACUGUACUGUUGUAAAUCACACACACAACAAAAUGCCAUGUGGGAGGGGGUGUGAGCAAAAACGAACGUCCCACAACCACAUGAUUGCACAUUGACAGCUCAACUUUGCUCCAACCAUUCUGGGCCCUGGACACAAAGACAUAAAUCCACACAUUGUUAUACCACUACUAAAAACUCAUUUUUGUAUGUAAAAAUAUAAUAAAAAACACGGUUACAAUCAUUGCUUCUCUACCUCCUUCAGUCAGUCUGCCAGCCUAUAUACUUUAUAUGUUUUGUAGGGAUGCAGAUGUCCACCCCAUCUUCUGAGCCCCAUUUCUGAGGUAGUGCUAUCGCCAUGGUUACUGAAAGAGACUGACAGCUGAACUGGAGAACUGGACCUUUAAAGAAGCCAUUCACCCAAAUCCUCCUCUGACCCCGGGCCCUCUCCUCCGUUUCCUGCUGUGCUUAGGUUGUGUUCUAACAUCAGAUAAAAAGAGCUCUGAUCCCUGACUCAGACUUGUCCCCUGGUUUAUGUGCAUGUGUGGGAGAGAGCUGGACAAAUCUACCAAUCUAUUCCCAGCAGCCGCUCUGACCAGUCAAACAUGGCUGCCAGUGCUGGUUGACUGGAAGGAUGAUGGAUGGAGGCUUGGCUAGCUCUGAAGCACAUUCUGAACGUAAAGAGCUCAAACAGUGAGUUGAUAGAGGCCCUGGGUGGGUUAGAAUGGCAAAACCACCAAGUGAGCCAGAAGGUGACAAAGUGCAGUGACCCGUUCAGCCCCUUUCCUUUGGAAACAUGAGCUUACAAACUGAGCAAGGACAAGUGUAUUGGUGUGUUCCCAGUGGGUAGUCUGGAUUUGUUCUGUUGUAAACUGGGCCGUUCCCAGCAGACGAUGAGAGACUGAGGUUGGAAGGGACAGCUCCCUGGAGGCUGACCAACACUCUGCUGCUCACAGCUCCAUUAUGACGGCGCUACCCUAUUUAUAAAGGUUAAACUGAGAUUAAACAUUAAGAGAUGGUCUGGACAAAAAUGUGAGCUAGUAAAUGCUGACUAAUUCAGGAGAAAAGAAAGGUUCUUUAUAUGAAAAUGAUAUAUUGUUCUUUAAGAAUGAAUCCAAACAGGAAAAACUUUGAUCAAAUCUUUCCCUGAUCUUCAGAACAGAAGGCAUCAAGGAACUGUUUCUAUAGUUACGAUUGGUCAGUGUUUCUCUUUGUGUAAUCCAGGAAGAAAAACAAUGUACAAUCGGUACAACUGGAGCUUUUUUGUGUGUUUUUGUGCAAAUGUAAUCUAAA